RNAcentral lists this ribosomal RNA (115 nucleotides) under Cordylochernes scorpioides. The record is from RNAcentral. Lineage: Eukaryota; Metazoa; Arthropoda; Arachnida; Pseudoscorpiones; Chernetidae.
ACGGCAAUACCACAUUGAAAACACCGGUUCUCGUCCGAUCACCGAAGUUAAGCAAUGCCGGGCCCGGUCAGUACUUGGGAGGUUGAUCACCUGGGAACACCUGGUGCUGUAGGCU